Molecule: ribosomal RNA, 226 nt
Filed under: uncultured soil bacterium
Lineage: Bacteria
Description: partial 16S ribosomal RNA
Rfam family: Bacterial small subunit ribosomal RNA
Source: RNAcentral
AGAUUGAACGCUGGCGGAAUGCUUUACACAUGCAAGUCGAACGGCAGCACGGGGGCAACCCUGGUGGCGAGUGGCGAACGGGUGAGUAACACAUCGGAACGUGCCCAGUCGUGGGGGAUAACUACGCGAAAGCGUAGCUAAUACCGCAGUACGAUCUAUGGAUGAAAGCGGGGGAUCGCAAGACCUCGCGCGAUUGGAGCGGCCGAUGGCAGAUUAGGUAGUUGGG